RNAcentral lists this ribosomal RNA (1186 nucleotides) under Bacillus stratosphericus. Its description in RNAcentral is "bacterial SSU rRNA". It matches the Rfam family "Bacterial small subunit ribosomal RNA", at positions 23 to 1192 of the family's 1533-position model. The record is from RNAcentral. Lineage: Bacteria; Bacillati; Bacillota; Bacilli; Caryophanales; Bacillaceae.
CUCAGGACGAACGCUGGCGGCGUGCCUAAUACAUGCAAGUCGAGCGGACAGAAGGGAGCUUGCUCCCCGGAUGUUAGCGGCGGACGGGUGAGUAACACGUGGGUAACCUGCCUGUAAGACUGGGAUAACUCCGGGAAACCGGAGCUAAUACCGGAUAGUUCCUUGAACCGCAUGGUUCAAGGAUGAAAGACGGUUUCGGCUGUCACUUACAGAUGGACCCGCGGCGCAUUAGCUAGUUGGUGAGGUAACGGCUCACCAAGGCGACGAUGCGUAGCCGACCUGAGAGGGUGAUCGGCCACACUGGGACUGAGACACGGCCCAGACUCCUACGGGAGGCAGCAGUAGGGAAUCUUCCGCAAUGGACGAAAGUCUGACGGAGCAACGCCGCGUGAGUGAUGAAGGUUUUCGGAUCGUAAAGCUCUGUUGUUAGGGAAGAACAAGUGCAAGAGUAACUGCUUGCACCUUGACGGUACCUAACCAGAAAGCCACGGCUAACUACGUGCCAGCAGCCGCGGUAAUACGUAGGUGGCAAGCGUUGUCCGGAAUUAUUGGGCGUAAAGGGCUCGCAGGCGGUUUCUUAAGUCUGAUGUGAAAGCCCCCGGCUCAACCGGGGAGGGUCAUUGGAAACUGGGAAACUUGAGUGCAGAAGAGGAGAGUGGAAUUCCACGUGUAGCGGUGAAAUGCGUAGAGAUGUGGAGGAACACCAGUGGCGAAGGCGACUCUCUGGUCUGUAACUGACGCUGAGGAGCGAAAGCGUGGGGAGCGAACAGGAUUAGAUACCCUGGUAGUCCACGCCGUAAACGAUGAGUGCUAAGUGUUAGGGGGUUUCCGCCCCUUAGUGCUGCAGCUAACGCAUUAAGCACUCCGCCUGGGGAGUACGGUCGCAAGACUGAAACUCAAAGGAAUUGACGGGGGCCCGCACAAGCGGUGGAGCAUGUGGUUUAAUUCGAAGCAACGCGAAGAACCUUACCAGGUCUUGACAUCCUCUGACAACCCUAGAGAUAGGGCUUUCCCUUCGGGGACAGAGUGACAGGUGGUGCAUGGUUGUCGUCAGCUCGUGUCGUGAGAUGUUGGGUUAAGUCCCGCAACGAGCGCAACCCUUGAUCUUAGUUGCCAGCAUUCAGUUGGGCACUCUAAGGUGACUGCCGGUGACAAACCGGACGAAGGUGGGGAUGACGUCAAAUCA